RNAcentral lists this ribosomal RNA (258 nucleotides) under uncultured bacterium. Its description in RNAcentral is "partial 16S ribosomal RNA". It matches the Rfam family "Bacterial small subunit ribosomal RNA", at positions 96 to 354 of the family's 1533-position model. The record is from RNAcentral.
CGGCGGACGGGUGAGUAACGCGUGGGUAACCUGCCUCACACAGGGGGAUAACAGUUGGAAACGACCGCUAAUACCGCAUAAGCCAACAGGGGCGCAUGCUCUGGUUGGAAAAGAUUUAUCGGUGUGAGAUGGACCCGCGUCUGAUUAGCCAGUUGGCAGGGUAACGGCCUACCAAAGCGACGAUCAGUAGCCGGCCUGAGAGGGUGAACGGCCACAUUGGGACUGAGACACGGCCCAAACUCCUACGGAAGGCAGCAG